This 4522-nucleotide long non-coding RNA is filed under the name Lactuca sativa (garden lettuce). RNAcentral describes it as "long non-coding RNA (LSAT_LNC003523)". Lineage: Eukaryota; Viridiplantae; Streptophyta; Magnoliopsida; Asterales; Asteraceae. The record is from RNAcentral.
GUGGGUUAGGUCGGUAGUCUAAGGAUUUACGUUGCAGUAUGUUUUUCCUCUUCCUUCGAUCCUUGGCAUUCGUAGAACACAAGCCAUAUGUGAGAUUCCUUGUUAGAGAACUGAAACCCUAAUCGUAAAAACUUUGGGUUGUGUUUUUCGGUUCUUCAGGUAUUUACUAAUUCCUUCUCUAAACGCUUGCGUAAUUUUCUUUUUCAAUUCUGUUUGUGAGCGUUAAUGACUUGCAACAAAUUUGAUUCUCUAAUUUAGAAAGUUAGGAAUUCUGAUUAUAUAUGCGUUCUUGUUCUUCAGUCAUUCAAUGAGACCCAAACACCCCCGGACCCAUGUCUAUCUCUCUAACUACGGUCCCCCGAUACCCAAAUCUACCUCGGCAUGUCUGCAAUCGAAGAUCUGUAAGUUUCAUUAUUUUUAUUCUUUUCUUUAUUUUACGUUUAUAGGGUUUUUCUGUAAUUGAGAAUGAUGACGUGAUUUUAUUUUGUCAAUUAGGGUUUUGAUUUUACUCUUUCUAAUUUAGGAUUCUACUAUCACCCUGUCUUCUUCAUCUUCUUUUCGUUGAUUUUUUUUUUCUGUAAAAUCUGAUUUUUUAGGUUUGUUUCUGUCGUAUUGUGUUGUUGAUCAUUUGAUAGAUAAAGUCUGGUGUGUUUGGUUAGUUUUGUUGCUCGUUUGAGAACUGUCUUGUAGAUUCAAUGUUAGGAAAAAGUAAUUUUAUGAGAUCACCAGAUUUUAUUCAAAUUUAUGUGAUCGUGUAAGACUCCAUAAGUUAAAACUAUAUUUAAUUUGUUUCUUGUAUCUCUUCCUUUGAUCUGCAUAUUACUAAUAUUACUAAUAAUAGAAUUCUGUCAAACUCUUGGAUCUACUCAUAUUUCUAUAUUUAACAUGAAAAUAUAUUUCUAUAUUUAACAUGUAAAUUUUCAUGGCCAUAACAUGAUAACCUCAUUUUCUUGUAUCUUUAAUGGACUCGUGGCUUUAAAGGCAAUGUAGUUGUAGUUCACUCCUAUUGUUAUCUAGUUAUGUUGACCAUUCCUGAUGAUCUGCGUAUUACUUUUAAAUGUCUUUUAUUUGGUACUAAGAAACAUCAUGAAGUGGUUUUUCUUAUGGAAUUAUGGUUUACAACAGUCAUAAAGCAUUAUUUUUCUUUUUUCCUUUUCCUGCUUUUAUCUAAUAAUAUGUGAUCUUUAUUGUGAUUCUACUUGUUACUUGGUGUCUGAAGUUUGCAUACUUACAGAAUUAGGUGAGAUGAACUCCAUCAGUGUUGUGGAAUGAAAUCAUUGUUUAAUAAAAAAAGCAACAAAGUGGAUUCUGAUGGGUCAUCACCUGUAAGUUUUGAUCCCUUUUGUUUUUUAUUUAAAAUCUUGCUUUGAUUUCUUUCAAUUUCAUUAGGGUAUUUCCAUUUUAUUUGUAAUUUUCUAUGUGAUGCUAGGUUAAAGUGGUAGGUGUAAGGCAAUAUCCUUAUAUUAAAUGUGAAACAAUUUACUUAUCAUUACAUAACACUACAAGGAAAACGAUCAUUAGCCGCGACAAAAGUCGUCGGUAAUAAGUCAAGUUGUCGCCGAUAAUAGUAAUAGCGGCGAUGCGUCGCUGGUAGUAAGUUGCUACUACUAUUUCGUCACUAUUGAUGAACUUGUCGCAGCUAAUGAUAGAUGUCGCGAAUAAUGACCGUGUCACCGCUAAUGAUAGAUUUCACCGCUAAUGACCAUGUCGCCGGUAAUAACUCUGUCGCCGGUAAUAGUGUCACCAGUAAUUACAAUUUUCAUUUUUAAAAUUUUUUUUUGUAAUUAUUGAUUUUGUUUGCUGGUAAAAAUGUACUCGGUAAUUACAUAACAACAUUUGAUUAAAUAUAAAAAAUAAUAGUGUUGACGUUAAUUACAAAACAAACAUCCGAUUAUAAUUAAUUAAAUAUCAAAAGUCAUAAUAUCCGAUUAAAUAUAAAAAGUAUUAAUAUCGUCUGGUAUUAGUGUCGCCGGUAAUUACAAAAAACAACCAAAGUUUUACAAUCUACCAAGUAGCAAAGCAUGACAACGUAUGCAAAUAAAACUCAUCCUGACCUACAUACCAUCAUCUUCGUUCCCAUCGUUUCCUCGAUUAUUUUGGGAAUGAAAAAACGAAUGCAGCUCAUCCCUACAUGCCGGGUCGUUCAGCAUGGCACAAAGAUUUUCCAACUACAUAAUUAAUAACAACAUAUAUAAACUUAUAAGUUCAAUUAUCAAACAUAAACAAAAACUAUCAAAAUACAUUGUUAUUUUUAAACUAAGACAAGAAACCAAAGUACGUUGUUAUUUUUGCACUUGGGACACAAAUCUAAUUACCAAAGUUUUUAGCAAAUAAUCACCACAAAACCAAAAUUACCAAAUCAACAUGCAUUUUACGAUGCUAAAGUAGAUUGCUAUUUUUAAACUAAGACCAAAAACCAAUGUACGUUGUUAUUUUUUGCAUUUGGGACAAAAACCUAAUUACCAAAGUUUUUAGCAAAUAAUCACUACAAAACCAAAAUUACCAAAUCAACAUACAUUUUACGAUGCUAAAGUAGAUUGUUAUUUUUAAACUAAAAAAAAACCAAAGUACGUUGUUAUUUUUUGCACCUGGGACAAAAACCUAAUUACCAAACUUUUUAGCAAAUAAUCACCACAAAACCAAAAUUACCAAAUCAACAUACAUUUUACGAUGCUAAAGUAGAUUGUUAUUUUUAAACUAAGACAAAAAAACCAAAGUACGUUGUUAUUUUUUGCACUUUGGACAAAAACCUAAUUACCAAACUGUUUAGCAAAUAAUCACCACAAAACCAAAGUAGAUUGUUUUACCUGUGAUGGUUGUGGUGAUGGUUGCGAAGGCUGUGGAAUCGGCGGGAGAGUAGAAGGUUUAUGGCCGAUGCCUCUAAUAUGGCUACGUCGCUCUCCUAAUACUUUCUCUAACACAGUUCUUUCUUGAGUGGGUGUUAACUGACUUUCACCUUGAGUUUGUUCUAACAACUAUUCAACUAACCGAUUUUAUAACUUCUAAAAGUGAGUAACAAUUAAGUAUAAAUAAACAUUUAACUAUAUGAUAAAAUUAUAAUUAAAUACUUACAUAUUGUUGUUCCGCCUCAGUUGUAACAAAUACAUCAUUCUUAUCGGUAUGAGCUUUGCGAAACGUUUCCACUCUCUUAAGGUUCUGUUUAACUUUAAAAAUUAGAUUAUAUUUUAAAUAAAUAAUUACAUAUAUCGUACGUUACCUUCUUAUAGCAACUACUGCUAUACGAGCUCGACCCCCACGAUUCGCAUUUGUUUGCAUUUCACGGAUUUUUUUGUUCUUUUCUGAAGCAAUUAUGUGUUCGUUUGUUUGGAAAUACUCAACUGCUUUUUUCCACUUAUCAACUUCCAUACCCUCUGGAGGGUUGGCUAUUGCUCUCGGGAUAUCUUCAUACCCUCCGACUAACAUAAAAUAUUCUUUUGCGUCAGCUUUACGUUCUCGAUAACCUUUUAACAAAGCUGCUUGGAAACUCUCUGUCAACAUAUUAACUUGUCAUCUCGGUACAUCUAAUCUAAAUCAAACUUUGUCUACAAAUAAAAAAGUUAACCAAGUAAAAAACAAUUAUAGUUAACCAUAUAAAAUAUAUUUAAAUAAAUAACUGCCGCUAAAUGUUGUAAUACGGUGUCCUGUAUUGCAGGGGAAACUUUUUUCCAAGUGCAUUUAUCAAAAGGGACCAUCUGCCACAUUGUUUUUCCAACUUCUCGGGAAAACAUGUCUUUCGGCUCUCCUACGGGAUCAAAUGUGAUAUCCCUAUCAUAUUCCAUGCUAAUCGGUUUGCCCUGGUUCCAUAAGAUCGUUUUUUCAAGCUUUAUAUUUUUCGAUUUGCCUCGAACUUUCCUUUGUGCAAGUUGCUCAACUACAAAUGUAAUUAAAAAUUAUUAGAAACGGUAUUUAAUUUAUAAUAGCUGAACAAAAAUAGUAAACAACAAUUCAUAACAAGACUUACCGUCCUGCUCGUGAUGACCAACACCUCUACCACCUGGGAGAGGUGCGUCCUCAGCUCCAUCACCCCCCGUGUCCACGACCCAUAACAGCUGCCAUGGUAUACAUAAACAAAAGCCAUAUUGUCAUCAUUUCUUGAAAAACUUAUAAGAUAUACAAAUAUAAUUUUUAUUACAAAUACACAUUACAUAGAAAUAAACAUUUACAUAGGAAUAAACAUUUCUAUUUAAACAAGAACUGUUCUAAUCAGAAUAUUCCUCAUAUCCUUCGGUGUCUUCUUCUGUAUCAUAAUCAUAAUCGGUCUCAUCGUAAUCAGUUUCGCAAUCAGAAACAUCAUUGACUAUACCAGUAUAGCAUCCUACUUAUACCAAAACCACAUACUUUUCCACAUAAUACACAAGAGAAUGAAAUUCACAUACUUUCACACACAUAUACCACGUAUACACCAAAUACAAAUACAUUCACAUACACACAAAAUAACAUCCUACUUAAAUUAAAUACACAUAUUUUCACAUAUAUAGCUAAUAACAUCCUAUUUAUACCAAAUACAAAAAUUUCACAAUCA